Molecule: ribosomal RNA, 497 nt
Filed under: uncultured bacterium
Lineage: Bacteria
Description: partial 16S ribosomal RNA
Rfam family: Bacterial small subunit ribosomal RNA
Source: RNAcentral
GAUGAACGCUGGCGGCGUGCCUAAUACAUGCAAGUCGAGCGAACAGACGAGGAGCUUGCUCCUUCGACGUUAGCGGCGGACGGGUGAGUAACACGUAGGUAACCUACCUAUAAGACUGGGAUAACUUCGGGAAACCGGAGCUAAUACCGGAUAAUAUUUCGAUCCGCAUGGUUCGAUAGUGAAAGAUGGCUUUGCUAUCACUUAUAGAUGGACCUGCGCCGUAUUAGCUAGUUGGUAAGGUAACGGCUUACCAAGGCAACGAUACGUAGCCGACCUGAGAGGUGGAUCGGCCACACGGGAACUGAGACACGAUCCAGACUCCUAAGGGAGGCGGCAGUAGGGAGUCUUCCGCAAUGGGCGAAGGCCUGACGGAGCAACGCCGCGUGAGGGAUGAAGGUCUUCGGAUCGUAAAACUCUGUUAUUAGGGAAGAACAAACGUGUAAGUAACUGUGCACGUCUUGACGGUACCUAAUCAGAAAGCCACGGCUAACUACGUG